RNAcentral lists this ribosomal RNA (433 nucleotides) under uncultured bacterium. Its description in RNAcentral is "partial 16S ribosomal RNA". It matches the Rfam family "Bacterial small subunit ribosomal RNA", at positions 31 to 507 of the family's 1533-position model. The record is from RNAcentral.
AAGGAAAGCUGGCGGCAUGCCUAACACAUGCAAGUCGAACGAGACCUUCGGGUCUAGUGGCGCACGGGUGCGUAACGCGUGGGAACCUGCCCUUAGGUUCGGAAUAACUCCCCGAAAGGGGUGCUAAUACCGGAUAAUGUCUUCGGACCAAAGAUUUAUCGCCUUUGGAUGGGCCCGCGUUGGAUUAGCUAGUUGGUAGGGUAAAAGCCUACCAAGGCGACGAUCCAUAGCUGGUCUGAGAGGAUGAUCAGCCACACUGGGACUGAGACACGGCCCAGACUCCUACGGGAGGCAGCAGUGGGGAAUAUUGGACAAUGGGCGAAAGCCUGAUCCAGCAAUGCCGCGUGAGUGAUGAAGGCCUUAGGGUUGUAAAGCUCUUUUACCCGGGAUGAUAAUGACAGUACCGGGAGAAUAAGCGCCGGCUAACUCCGUG